RNAcentral lists this long non-coding RNA (845 nucleotides) under Helianthus annuus (common sunflower). RNAcentral's name for it is "sRNA HanXRQr2_Chr12g0560431". The record is from RNAcentral. Lineage: Eukaryota; Viridiplantae; Streptophyta; Magnoliopsida; Asterales; Asteraceae.
AUCGUCCUUUGGAAUAUGAUUUUUCAACCAUUUCCUUUUUUUCCUCUGUAAUAGGCGAUUACUCAUCUGCGCUUCUGGCUUCUGGCUUCAUCGAUUUAAUAAGUUUACUUAAAAAUCUUGGAACUGAUUGUGCUGAUGAGCAUUUCAUGGAAUACAUACGGACACUUGCAAUAGUAUCUUAAGUCUUAAGGUAUUAUUUUCUUGUAGUAUAUUUUGUGUUUAUUUUUGCAACUAUAUAAAUGUUCAUAGCGAGUACAUUACCCUUUUUUAUUGGAUUAAGUGAAAUAUAUUUGCUCAUAACAGUAAUUAGUUUCUCCACUUGCUGAAAAGUUUUAUGAACCUAUAUCCUUUAUCUAGCUUGUUUUGAUUAUUUAUCAUUUUAAUAUUACUGGUCAUCUGUGUAUAAUUUAAGAAGAUAUGAAGUUGUCAUCACAGUGAGUCUCAUUUAUUGGAGGUUGCAAAUAUCUUUGGACAGAACAACCACAUAUAAGAAAAAGUAUUCACAGGGUACAACUUGACUAGGUUCUCAGUUGAGAAGUUUUAGUAAUGGAAGAUAAAAGUAUGCAAGGACAAAGCUCCAAAAGACGUAUGAAUGCUUAUGAAAAUAGUAGAAUGUCAAGAUUCAAGAGAACCAAAAAAAAAAAUUACAAGCUUUGGGAUUGAAAAAUAUUGCUAAAUCUUUGAGAAGUCUAGCAGAGAGGGACAAAACAAAGAAAAAGAAAUCAAUGUAUACUAGCGAGAAAGAUAUAGAUGUAGAGUAUAUCCAUGGUUCUGAUGUCGAUGUCGAGCAAGAUUAUCAAGAAUUGGUGCAUCCAUCGCAUGGCCCUAUCCAUUCAUCUCGGUAG